UGUGAAGAAAUGUCACUGCGAAAAUUUUGAAGAUUGCAAAACAGCAGCCACUUAGUCACAUUCUUAAGAUUUGGGAUUCACCAUCAGUACCUUCAACGCUUGCAUCUUCAUCGCCAGGAGCACCAUUAAAACCUUCUGCCCUCAGCUUCUUCAUCGCCAGGAGCACCACCAGUACCUUCUAUCCUCAGCUCCUUCGUCGCCAGGAGCACCAUGGGUACCUUCCGCCCUCAGCACCUUCAACGCCAGGAGCACCUUCAAAGUGUAGGUCCAACUUGUCAAAUUUUGCAAAGUUGUAAGAAAACUUAAUUUUUCUGAACCACCAUAAAUGAUUUGCAACUCUU
Molecule: long non-coding RNA, 341 nt
Organism: Rhagoletis zephyria (snowberry fruit fly)
Lineage: Eukaryota; Metazoa; Arthropoda; Insecta; Diptera; Tephritidae
Source: RefSeq, a predicted model, not a curated record